GCCCGGCACUGUGGGGCUUGCCUGUAAUCCCAGUGACUUGGGAGGCUGAGACAGGAGAAUUGCAAGUUCAAGGCCAGCCUCAGCAACUUAGUGAGGCCCUAAGCAACUUAGCAAGCCCCUGUCUCAA
RNAcentral lists this small RNA (127 nucleotides) under Marmota monax (woodchuck). Lineage: Eukaryota; Metazoa; Chordata; Mammalia; Rodentia; Sciuridae. The record is from RNAcentral.